RNAcentral lists this ribosomal RNA (252 nucleotides) under uncultured bacterium. Its description in RNAcentral is "partial 16S ribosomal RNA". It matches the Rfam family "Bacterial small subunit ribosomal RNA", at positions 524 to 776 of the family's 1533-position model. The record is from RNAcentral.
UACGUAGGGGGCAAGCGUUGUCCGGAAUCAUUGGCGUAAAGAGCGUGUAGGCGGCCAGAAAAGUCCGCUGUGAAAACUCGAGGCUCAACUUCGAGCUGUCGGUGGAAACUUUCUGGCUAGAGUCCGGAAGAGGAGAAUGGAAUUCCUGGUGUAGCGGUGAAAUGCGCAGAUAUCAGGAAGAACACCCGUGGCGAAGGCGGUUCUCUGGGACGGUACUGACGCUGAGACGCGAAAGCGUGGGGAGCGAACAGG